UACACCUUCCCUAUCCAACUUACGGAAAAAGUUUAACUGACGCGACGCCAGUUUCGUUUUUUCCGUAAGUUGAAUACGGAAGGCACACUGUAAAAAAUGAAUGUGAUUUUAACAGUAAAAUAUUGUAAAAACGCUACGGAAAAAAAAUUGUAAAUAGGUUAACAGUAAGUUCCAGUACUAUAUACAGGGAAAAACUGUAAAAGCUCUUACCAGACAUUUUAUGUAAUUUUCACAGUAAAAUGCUGUAAAUUUUACAAUUUUUAGAAGUAAAAAAAGAACAAAUCAAUGUAUAAUUUACAGUCAAAAACUGUAAACUGAUAUUCGCACAAUUCCCUGUGUGACACUCCACAUUUGAAAGUAUUUUGUUAACAAAACUAUUAAGAAACAUGAUUUUUUAAUCAGUUAUGUACAUUAGGGUUUUAUGUUACAUCUUCUGUUGUUUAAUGAAUGUUUAUUGCAUUAUGAAAGUGUUGUGGGUUACCAUGAUGGUGUUUUGCGUUUGCGUGAAUGACUCUUUGCACCCUCUUUACAUUAGUAUUUACUUCAGCUAGUGGAAAAGUUUUUUGUGCUGAACUCUGAUUCUUCAUGUGGCUUUCUCUUUUACCACCUGCAUUAUUAUGGUGGUUGUCAGUAUAUGUUAAAGGUACAAAACAGAUUUUAGUAGUAGUGUGCAUUGUUGAAUUUACUUGUUUACAUUCACAUUUUCUUGUUUGUAAAUUACAGUUUUAUACUGUAAAAUUGACAGUUUGUUCUGUAAAUGUGUUUACAGUUUUUCUGUAUUUUUUACAAUAUUAUUCUGGCAACCACAGCUGCCAAAAUUAUUUUGUAAAAACUACGGAAUAUACAGUGCAGUCUGGCGGAAGCUAGAUAUUUUACUUCAUAACUUGUUAAAUAUGGAUAUUUUUCUUACACAAACACAUCGUUUCACUUCAGAAGGCCUUUAUUAACCCACUGGAGCCGUGUGGAGUACUUUUAUGAUGGAUGGAUGCACUUUCUUCAGCUUCAUACUUGUUGAUCCCACUUCCAUUAUAAAGCUCGGAUGCGUCAGGAUAUUUAUUAAUAUAACUCAGAUUGUGUUCAUCAGAAAGAAGAAAGUCACCUAGGAUGGCUUGAGGAUUUUCGAAGACACCGCUCUGAAGCAUCACCAUGCAACUCUGUUUCUUUGUGAUUCAUCACUCCAACCUCCCAAAAACGUUCAUGUUUUUUUGAGACCGCAAUGGCUUUUUACUUAAAUCUUGCUAAUUUGAAGCCUGAACUCAUUAUUCCCAGCCUAUAAUUCAAUAAAUCACUAUGUGGCAGGUAUUAGCUAUACUAUUAGAAGAUAUUUUGUAGGUUUUAGUGAAAAUGGCCAGAUGGAAUGAGCCGUCUUCUGCAAUCAAACAGGAUAUUGUUGAAAUGGCUAAAUCUGGUCAUUUGGUUUAGGAUAUUGCUCAUGUGCUGGAUGUGAAUGGUCCCAAUGUCCGCAGAAUGACUUCAAAACACAGUGAGAGCACUGUCAUGCAGAAUGGAAAGUGUUGUGGCUGGUCAAGGAAGAUUAGUGAGCAGUUUGACAGGAGGAUGAAAAUACCACCUCAAAACAGCUUCUAAAGACCUGGAUGAGACCUCCAACUUUUGAAUUGUAAGCCAACGACUAUAAGAGUCUGGAUUGAGAGGUUGUGUACCAGUAAAGAAACCAUUUAUCAGUUGUAUCUACUGCAAAAAACACCUUGCAUUUGCAAAGAACAUAAGGAUGAUUGGAGCCACAUUCUGCAGCCCAACAAGUCAAAAUUUAACAAUCAAGCAAUUGAUGGUAUCAGGUAUGUUCAUAGGAGACAACUGGAGUGUUUUAAUACCAAAUGCAUGUGUGGUGCCAUUAAGUACUGCGAAGGAAGCAGUGGUAUUGGGGACACAUGUCUGCAGCAGGUGUUACAAAGUUGUUGGCACUGCGAAAAUGGACCAAUGCUUAGGAAUCCUGCUGAAUACAAUGGGGCCAAGUUUGGAGGAUCUGUUUGGAGAUCAAAUGUGUAUUUUCCAACAUGAUAAUGAUCUCAAACACCACUCAUGCAAUGAAAGUGUUCAUGCUCAGCAUUUUGAAGGCUUCAAGCGGCCUCCUCAGUCCCCUGACCUUAAAGCCAUUUAAAAACCUUUGGGAAAUUAUAAAUCUGAAUUGUGAGAAGUCAUGCAGUUCUUCCAAUGAAGCUCUAACAUUGGGAAGAACUCGAGGAGGAUUGGAAAGAAGUUAAGCAUGACACAUGCACAAAGUUUAGUGGGUCAAUGCCCUGCUGUAAUCAAAACCCAGCAAACAGUGGUCUGACGGCAACGUAUUGUCCCUGGCCAAAAAAUAGUCGCGGUAGGACGGCAUAAUUCGGUAAAAAUGCGUCACAGAAUAGUUCCUAAAAAUGCAUUCAGAUACGUUUGUACAUGUCUGCAGUUCUCUGGGGUUGCAUGUAUAACUGUUACUAUGACUUUUAUCUAUGUGUAGUAUAUAUUAAUUAAUUUAGUAAGAUAACGUCAAAGAUGUCCAUUUAAAUUUCAUUUUGGAACUAUUUUUUCAAUCAUGACAGGACGUGUCGGAGGGACAUUAAACGUCCAAAUGUUUGCUAGGGAGAACCAACAAAUCAUUAAUAACUGUAGUCAAAGUGUGCUUUAUUUCCAGUGAGCUUUUUGUUUUUCUAUGCCUUUUUUGAAUACUACAACAAAACUCAUAUUUAAUUAUAUGCUGGAGUUUGCCUUUCUUGCCAAAUAAUUUUGUCAUUUUAAUACCUUAACCAAGUUUAGUGUAUUUCUCUUCCCAAUAUAACAUACUCCUCAUAUUUUAAUUGUUUAAUAGAACCUGAAGUGUCAUUAAAAGCAAACAGUGUGCAAAUAUUCACUUUUGGCACACAAAAUUAUGUAUAAUUUACAACAUACAAGACACAAGGGAAAGAACUUCAUAUUUAUCUUUAUUCAUAUAGCAGCACAUCUUACAGAAAUAUAACUGCAGGAGUAUACAAAUGUACUGAUUAAAGCAAAAAAAAAAAAAAAAAAAAAA
This is a long non-coding RNA of Ctenopharyngodon idella (grass carp), 3010 nucleotides long. RefSeq lists it as uncharacterized. The record is from RefSeq and is a predicted model, not a curated record. The transcript is spliced from 2 exons. Lineage: Eukaryota; Metazoa; Chordata; Actinopteri; Cypriniformes; Xenocyprididae.